This 1237-nucleotide ribosomal RNA is filed under the name metagenome. RNAcentral describes it as "bacterial SSU rRNA". It matches the Rfam family "Bacterial small subunit ribosomal RNA", at positions 110 to 1351 of the family's 1533-position model. The record is from RNAcentral.
GUAACACGUGUGCAACCAACCCCGUACCGGGAGAUAACCCGCGGAAACGUGGACUAACACCCCAUAACACCUUUCCCCCGCAUGGGGGAGAGUUUAAAAUCACGAUGGUACGGGACGGGCACGCGCGACAUUAGGUAGUUGGCGGGGUAACGGCCCACCAAGCCGACGAUGUCUAGGGGUUCUGAGAGGAAGGUCCCCUACACUGGAACUGAGACACGGUCCAGACUCCUACGGGAGGCAGCAGUGAGGAAUAUUGGUCAAUGGGCGAGAGCCUGAACCAGCCAAGUCGCGUGAGGGAAGAAUGGUCUAUGGCCUGUAAACCUCUUUUGUCAAGGAAGAAUAAGCGGCACGAGUGCCACCUCGCCAGUACUUGACGAAUAAGCAUCGGCUAACUCCGUGCCAGCAGCCGCGGUAAUACGGGGGAUGCGAGCGUUAUCCGGAUUUAUUGGGUUUAAAGGGCGCGUAGGCGGGACGUCAAGUCAGCGGUAAAAGACUGCAGCUAAACUGUAGCACGCCGUUGAAACUGUCGACCUGGAGACGAGACGAGGGAGGCGGAACAAGUGAAGUAGCGGUGAAAUGCAUAGAUAUCACUUGGAACCCCGAUAGCGAAGGCAGCUUCCCAGGCUCGAUCUGACGCUGAUGCGCGAGAGCGUGGGUAGCGAACAGGAUUAGAUACCCUGGUAGUCCACGCCGUAAACGAUGCUCACUGGAUCUUGGCGAUACACGGCCAGGGUUCAAGCGAAAGUAUUAAGUGAGCCACCUGGGGAGUACGUCGGCAACGAUGAAACUCAAAGGAAUUGACGGGGGCCCGCACAAGCGGAGGAACAUGUGGUUUAAUUCGAUGAUACGCGAGGAACCUUACCCGGGUUUAAAUGCAGGUUGCAUGAGGUGGAAACACCUCUUUCCCUCGGGACUACCUGCAAGGUGCUGCAUGGUUGUCGUCAGCUCGUGCCGUGAGGUGUCGGGUUAAGUCCCAUAACGAGCGCAACCCCUAUCGCCAGUUGCCAUCGGUUCAAGCCGGGCACUCUGUCGAGACUGCCACCGUAAGGUGCGAGGAAGGCGGGGAUGACGUCAAAUCAGCACGGCCCUUACACCCGGGGCGACACACGUGUUACAAUGGCCGGUACAGAGGGCAGCCACGGGGCGACCCGGAGCGAAUCUCUAAAGCCGGUCGUAGUUCGGACUGGAGUCUGCAACCCGACUCCACGAAGUUGGAUUCGCUAGUAAUCGCGCAUCA